Molecule: transfer RNA, 118 nt
Filed under: Tolypocladium ophioglossoides CBS 100239
Lineage: Eukaryota; Fungi; Ascomycota; Sordariomycetes; Hypocreales; Ophiocordycipitaceae
Rfam family: tRNA
About the family: Transfer RNA (tRNA) molecules are approximately 80 nucleotides in length. Their secondary structure includes four short double-helical elements and three loops (D, anti-codon, and T loops). Further hydrogen bonds mediate the characteristic L-shaped molecular structure. tRNAs have two regions of fundamental functional importance: the anti-codon, which is responsible for specific mRNA codon recognition, and the 3' end, to which the tRNAs corresponding amino acid is attached (by aminoacyl-tRNA synthetases). tRNAs cope with the degeneracy of the genetic code in two manners: having more than one tRNA (with a specific anti-codon) for a particular amino acid; and 'wobble' base-pairing, i.e. permitting non-standard base-pairing at the 3rd anti-codon position.
Source: Rfam by way of RNAcentral
GACAGAGUGCCGGAGUGGUUAACGGGAAGGUUUUGAAUUUAGAGAACAUUUUCAGAAUGUUUUCAUCACUCGAUAGCCUUUGGCCUUGGCCUCGCAGGUUCGAAUCCUGUCUCUGUCG